AGGGCGUACGGCGAAUGCCUGGCCACUCGAAACUGAAGAAGGACGCGCCAAACUGCGAAAAGCUCCGUGAAGCUGUAAGGAAGCGAAGAAGCGGAGGUGUCCGAAUGGGGGAACCCGGCAGCAGACAUGAGCUGUCAUCUGCAGGUGAAUACAUGGCCUGCAAGAGAGGUACCCGGCGAACUGAAACAUCUAAGUAGCCGGAGGAAAAGAAAACAACAGUGAUUCCCUGAGUAGCGGCGAGCGAAAGGGGAGAAGCCCAAACCGGUCCAAGGACCGGGGUUGAAGGACCAUGAUAUGGCAAGAGAGAGGAUAGAAGAACGGGAUCGAAAGCCCGGCCGAAGAAGGUGCAAGCCCUGUAAUUGAAAUCCGAUCGAAGCCUAAUGGGAUCCUGAGUACGGCGAGACACGAGGAAUCUUGUCGGAAGCAGGCGGGACCAUCCGCCAAGGCUAAAUAUAAACGAGUGAGCGAUAGUGAACCAGUACCGUGAGGGAAAGGUGAAAAGAACCGCGGGAGCGGAGUGAAAGAGAACCUGAAACCGUAUGCCUACAAGAAGUCAGAGCCCGUUAAGGGGUGAUGGCGUGCCUUUUGUAGAAUGAACCGGCGAGUUGCGACAGACUGCGAGGUUAAGGAGGAAAGACCGGAGCCGAAGCGAAAGCGAGUCUUAAUAGGGCGAAAGUAGGAUGUUGCAGACCCGAAACCGGGUGAUCUAGCCAUGAGCAGGUUGAAGUUGAGGUGAAACUCAAUGGAGGACCGAACCGACUACCGUUGAAAAGUUAGCGGAUGACUUGUGGCUAGGGGAGAAAUUCCAAUCGAACCCGGAGAUAGCUGGUUCUCCCCGAAAUAGCUUUAGGGCUAGCGUCGGAAAGAACCUUAGUGAAGGUAGAGCACUGAAUGUGUGAUGGCCCCAUCCCGGGGUACUGAAUACAAUCAAACUGCGAAUGUCAUUAAGGAUGUCCGGCAGUCAGACUGUGAGUGAUAAGGUCCAUGGUCAAGAGGGAAACAGCCCAGACCGCCAGUUAAGGUCCCAAAAUACAGGCUAAGUGGAAAAGGAUGUGGGGAUGCCCAGACAACUAGGAGGUUGGCUCAGAAGCAGCCAUCCUUUAAAGAGUGCGUAACAGCUCACUAGUCGAGUGACCCUGCGCCGAAAAUGUACCGGGGCUAAGCCUGAUACCGAAACUGCGGAUUGUAGGAAACUAUAGUGGUAGGGGAGCGUUGUAUACGAGUAGAAGCCGUACCGUGAGGAGCGGUGGAUUGUAUAGAAGUGAGAAUGCCGGUGUGAGUAGCGAGAUGUAGGUGAGAAUCCUACACACCGAAAGCCCAAGGAUUCCAGGGGAAGGUUCGUCCGCCCUGGGUAAGUCGGGACCUAACGCGAGGCCGAAAGGCGUAGUGGAUGGAAAGCAGGCGAAAGAUUCCUGCACCCGUAUAUGGAGCGAAGGAGUGACGGAGACGGAUAGUGUGACCCUCUUAAUGGAUUGAGGGCGAAGCGAAGCGGCUGGUUACCAGGCAAAUCCGGUAACCAUAAGGCUAGAGCGUGAGAGGUAAGCGAAAUCUUAGGAAAGUAGCGAAGCACAUGAUGACGGCUUCCAGGAAAAGCUUCUGGCAAUGCAUAUGCGGCCCGUACCAAAACCGACACAGGUGGGCAGGGAGAGAAUCCCGAGGUGAGCGAGAGAACUGUUGCCAAGGAACUCGGCAAAAUGACUCCGUAAGUUAGCGAGAAGGAGUGCUUAAGCAAUUAAGCCGCAGUGAAGAGGCCCAAGCGACUGUUUAACUAAAACACAGCUCUCUGCGAAGUCGCAAGACGAAGUAUAGGGGGUGACACCUGCCCGGUGCUGGAAGGUUAAGAGGAUCUGUUAAGAGCGAUCUGAAGCAGUGAUCCGAAGCCCCAGUGAACGGCGGCCGUAACUAUAACGGUCCUAAGGUAGCGAAAUUCCUUGUCAGGUAAGUUCUGACCCGCACGAAUGGCGUAACGAUUUGGGCACUGUCUCAACAGCCCGCCCGGCGAAAUUGUAGUACCGGUGAAGAUGCCGGUUAC
Molecule: ribosomal RNA, 2032 nt
Filed under: human gut metagenome
Description: bacterial LSU rRNA
Rfam family: Bacterial large subunit ribosomal RNA
Source: RNAcentral